Molecule: ribosomal RNA, 231 nt
Filed under: uncultured bacterium
Lineage: Bacteria
Description: partial 16S ribosomal RNA
Rfam family: Bacterial small subunit ribosomal RNA
Source: RNAcentral
GACGAACGCUGGCGGCGUGCUUAACACAUGCAAGUGGAGCGACGAACCAGGCUUCGGCCUGGGGCAAAGCCGCGAACGGGUGAGUAACACGUGGGUAACCUGCCCCGAUGAUCGGGACAACCCGGGAAACCGUACGGGCGUAAUACCGAACUGUGCUCGCACCACAUCAGUGGUGCGCGUAAGGUAGCUUCGGCCUCCGCAUCGGGAGUGGGCCCGGCCGGCCCGACUUAG